CCUACGGGUGGCAGCAGUGAGGAAUAUUGGUCAAUGGCCGAGAGGCUGAACCAGCCAAGUCGCGUGAGGGAAGAAUGUCCUAUGGAUUGUAAACCUCUUUUGUCAGGGAGCAAAGUCACCCACGUGUGGGUGUUGGAGAGUACCUGAAGAAAAAGCAUCGGCUAACUCCGGGCCAGCAGCCGCGGUAAUACGGAGGAUGCGAGCGUUAUCCGGAUUUAUUGGGUGUAAAGGGUGCGUAGGCGGGUUAGCAAGUCAGCGGUAAAAUCGUGGGGCUCAACUCCAUGCAGGCCGUUGAACCGGGAGAUCUUGAGUGGGUGAGAGGUAGGCGGAAUGCGUGGUGUAGGGGUGAAAUGCAUAGAUAGCAGGAGGAACACCGGUUGCGAAGGCGGCAUGCGGGCGCCCAACUGACGCUGAGGCGCGAAAGCGUGGGUAGCAAACAGGAUUAGAUACCCUAGUAGUC
RNAcentral lists this ribosomal RNA (460 nucleotides) under uncultured bacterium. RNAcentral describes it as "partial 16S ribosomal RNA". It matches the Rfam family "Bacterial small subunit ribosomal RNA", at positions 338 to 795 of the family's 1533-position model. The record is from RNAcentral.